GAUGAACGCUGGCGGCGUGCCUAAUACAUGCAAGUCGAGCGAACAGACGAGGAGCUUGCUCCUCUGACGUUAGCGGCGGACGGGUGAGUAACACGUGGAUAACCUACCUAUAAGACUGGGAUAACUUCGGGAAACCGGAGCUAAUACCGGAUAAUAUAUUGAACCGCAUGGUUCAAUAGUGAAAGACGGUUUUGCUGUCACUUAUAGAUGGAUCCGCGCCGCAUUAGCUAGUUGGUAAGGUAACGGCUUACCAAGGCGACGAUGCGUAGCCGACCUGAGAGGGUGAUCGGCCACACUGGAACUGAGACACGGUCCAGACUCCUACGGGAGGCAGCAGUAGGGAAUCUUCCGGAAUGGGCGAAAGCCUGACGGAGCAACGCCGCGUGAGUGAUGAAGGUCUUCGGAUCGUAAAACUCUGUUAUUAGGGAAGAACAAAUGUGUAAGUAACUAUGCACGUCUUGACGGUACCUAAUCAGAAAGCCACGGCUAACUACGUG
Molecule: ribosomal RNA, 497 nt
Filed under: uncultured bacterium
Lineage: Bacteria
Description: partial 16S ribosomal RNA
Rfam family: Bacterial small subunit ribosomal RNA
Source: RNAcentral